GAAAAUAUGCUUUUUUUAAGGGAAUAUUCAGCCUGUGCAAGAUAUAAGCUCAGUUAAUUCAAGUUUUAAAUUCUGUGUAAGUGCGGUCCACUACACUCCCUCUGGGUCAUUGAUAUCACAGUAAGACUUACGAGUAGCUUUUGCAAGCAACCUACGAAGAAUUUUAUUUUUCUCUCUUUCUCUGUCCCCCUCCUUCUCCUUCUCUGACACACACGCACACACGCACUCCUAGGUCCCAUAUGAUUUCUGCUUCCAUGCUACACUCAUUUCUGCUGUUAAUGGUGCUAUGAUAUUUGCUGUCCAUGGUGCUGUGCAGUUGACCUCUCAUCCCUAGCAGUGCAGACUCCUGUUCUUAGCGGGGCCAGGCACACCACUUGCAGCAUUCUACCUUGCACUGGCUCUUGUUUCCCUUCAGCACUUCCCACCCUCAGUCAUACUUUGUGACAUCAGAGAGGUUCUCCAUCUUUUCUCCGUUGGCUCAUCUAAUGAAGAUUCCAUCCACAUCCAUUCACCUUCUCCUCAUACACCCCUUUCAAGCUCUACUUCUUUGACAAUUUCUAUGCUCCAUCAUUCAUGUGCAACAAAGCCUAGAGGAGAAGUUAUUGUCAUCUCCUAUUUCCAGAAAUACCUUCAAAUUCCAGGGGGUGCUGUUGCUAUAGAAGAUACUUUUAUGGACAUGGAGGUUAGUGCUAUGACUCCCCACAGGAAGAUGUCUUACUGAGGAGAAUUGGGUCUCAACAGGACUGCUACAUUGCACAAAACCAGAAGCUCAACUGAACCAUUAAAAUGGCAUGGCAUGGAAGAACACCUGAAUUCAGAAAUAUGACCAAAAGUGGUGUGAAAUAAAACCAAUAAAAUCCAUCAAGACAUCACAAAGCAUGUAUUCUGGGCUAUGAAGCCGGACAUUUCCCCUCAGUUGUAGAGAAAUUAAACUGAGCCACUUACAAUAAGAGCAAAGCUAGCAAUUCACACAUAUGCUGUGAAAUAAUGGCUGGGAGUUCCUUUUUGGUAUUCAACUGCCUUCUAAUGCAUCCUAG
Molecule: long non-coding RNA, 1037 nt
Filed under: Pan paniscus (pygmy chimpanzee)
Lineage: Eukaryota; Metazoa; Chordata; Mammalia; Primates; Hominidae
Description: lncRNA (ENSPPAG00000044612.1)
Source: RNAcentral